UUAUUUUUAAUAUUACAUAUAGUAUUAAAUAAAUACUAUUAUAUAAUAUUAAAUAAAAUAUAUGUUAACGUUCAUCCAGCAAGAAUGAACAACGAGAAACCAGUUUUCCGAAGUAGGUAAUUAUCAUGCUUACGCAAUUUCAUUCUCCUGCCUCGUUGAAUGAACGAAACUUAACGCGAAUCACAUUUAAUCCUGUCUAAGUAUUUUCCGAACCGGACCGUGACCUAUUUCGUGUUUCAGAGUCAGCACAAAAUCCGAUCUCUCAGAGUAGUUCAAAGUCAACUUUGAUUUAACCCAAAUACUUAGUAACUCCAAACGCAUUGCUCGUAUGUAACGAAUGCGUGAAAAUUCUACAUCGAAUUUGUCUACAUCACUUACGAUCAUCAUCGUGGUAAUUUUUAUUUGUUGAUCGAUGUUUAUAAACCAGACUAUCUAGCUUCAAAAAUCCAUAAAAGAGAAAUAUUGACAGGUUUAUAGACGUUGAAAAUAGAUUAAUCGCUUAUGAAGGAUGUUAAAGUUGAUUUAAAAUAAAUAUUUAUAACAGCGGCCGUAGGAAAGUCUGGUCGUUGUAAACGAUUGAUGUUUUACCGUCACAUUUCUAAAAAUAAACAGCUUCUGUUUAAAAACCAACUUUGAAACCUGAGGAAUGUAACCUUGGGACAAAUAUUCCGUUAAUCACAGCCCAAGUUCACGUUCUUCCUUCAAAUCGAAAAAUUUUCCUUCUCUUCUUUUAAAUUUUCAACAUAAUUCUAAUUAUAACUGCUAAAGAUAAUAGUAAGAAAAGAUGAAAAAUAUGACGCGUCGUUCAUAAGCUUCUUUUGAUUCGAAGGUGAACCGAACGAUCGUUUCAAAGGUGAUCCGAUUUCGCGCCAAAUAAGUAUACGAGAAAAGUCGUCUGAAAUGUGAAAGAAAUGGAAGGUUCCUAUAGGAAAUUUAAUCGCAUUAUCCGUAAUCGAACGCCAUUGACGAUUGUUUAAAUAACGACACAGAAGGGACAGUAUUAUUUCCUUGGCUUUUUCCUCGCUUCUUCUUUGUCCGCGAUUUCCGGGGGACGCGACGGGGCUUGCAUGGCUGGACGCUCCUCGCUUCUCCGGCUGCCCCCACCUCUCAUCCCGGCGCCUAGCGUCGCAUCAGGCAGUGGAAGGGAUCGGGAAAUGCAAGGACUUGGAACUUCGAGCGUUUCAGUUGCGUUCGAGCUCUCGGCUGUGUUGGGUCGAGUUCGAGUUGAAUUCUAUUCGGUUCUCAAAUGAAAUCUCAGUGAACACGACGUCGACGAAUGAUUGUUCCCCCCAGAAUACCGCGAAAGUGAGAAAGAAAGAGAGAGAGAGUGUGUGUGAGAGAGAGAAAGAGAGAGAGA
Molecule: long non-coding RNA, 1357 nt
Organism: Bombus pascuorum
Lineage: Eukaryota; Metazoa; Arthropoda; Insecta; Hymenoptera; Apidae
Exons: 2
Source: RefSeq, a predicted model, not a curated record